This 253-nucleotide ribosomal RNA is filed under the name uncultured bacterium. Its description in RNAcentral is "partial 16S ribosomal RNA". It matches the Rfam family "Bacterial small subunit ribosomal RNA", at positions 524 to 776 of the family's 1533-position model. The record is from RNAcentral.
UACGGGGGGGGCAAGCGUUGUUCGGAAUUACUGGGCGUAAAGGGCUCGUAGGUGGCCAACUAAGUCAGACGUGAAAUCCCUCAGCUUAACUGGGGAACUGCGUCUGAUACUGGAUGGCUUGAGUUUGGGAGAGGGAUGCGGAAUUCCAGGUGUAGCGGUGAAAUGCGUAGAUAUCUGGAGGAACACCGGUGGCGAAGGCGGCAUCCUGGACCACGACUGACGCUGAGGAGCGAAAGCCAGGGGAGCAAACGGG